RNAcentral lists this ribosomal RNA (373 nucleotides) under uncultured organism. RNAcentral describes it as "partial 16S ribosomal RNA". It matches the Rfam family "Bacterial small subunit ribosomal RNA", at positions 527 to 896 of the family's 1533-position model. The record is from RNAcentral.
GUAGGUGGCAAGCGUUGUCCGGAAUUAUUGGGCGUAAAGCGCGCGCAGGCGGUCCUUUAAGUCUGAUGUCGAAAGCCCACGGCUCAACCGUGGAGGGUCAUUGGAAACUGGGGGACUUGAGUACAGAAGAGGAAAGCGGAAUUCCACGUGUAGCGGUGAAAUGCGUAGAGAUGUGGAGGAACACCAGUGGCGAAGGCGGCUUUCUGGUCCGUAACUGACGCUGAGGCGCGAAAGCGUGGGGAGCAAACAGGAUUAGAUACCCUGGUAGUCCACGCCGUAAACGAUGAGUGCUAAGUGUUAGGGGGUUUCCCGCCCCCUUAGUGCUGCAGCUAACGCAUUAAGCACUCCGCCUGGGGAGUACGCCGCAAGGCUG